This 159-nucleotide ribosomal RNA is filed under the name Taraxacum obtusifrons. RNAcentral's name for it is "5.8S ribosomal RNA". It matches the Rfam family "5.8S ribosomal RNA". Rfam says of the family: 5.8S ribosomal RNA (5.8S rRNA) is a component of the large subunit of the eukaryotic ribosome. Lineage: Eukaryota; Viridiplantae; Streptophyta; Magnoliopsida; Asterales; Asteraceae. The record is from RNAcentral.
GACUCUCGGCAACGGAUAUCUCGGCUCACGCAUCGAUGAAGAACGUAGCAAAAUGCGAUACUUGGUGUGAAUUGCAGAAUCCCGUGAACCAUCGAGUUUUUGAACGCAAGUUGCGCCCGAAGCCAUCCGGUUCAGGGCACGCCUGCCUGGGCGUCACGC